AAGUCGCCUUUCCUCUCGAUUCAAACGAAGCCAAGUUGGAAGUUGGGACGGACUGCUUCUCCAAUUGCAUUGGACCCAAGGUUGAAGAAUAUAAGUUGGUGGGAUUUUCAAGCUUUAUGCAGAAAAGAAACUGUGGGUUGAUUCGAUUGAAGAAUAUAAGUUGGGCUGCCCUGAGUUCUUGAAAAGCUAUACAAACAAUAUCAGAGUGCAAAUUUAACUGAUUUUCUGGUGUAUUUAUAUGUUUCAUCUAGUGCUAUAUGUUCUUCCUUUUUUUCUGGUUUUUUUUUUUUUUUUUGUGGAAAGCAAUUAAUGGGUGCUCUGAGUUUUUGAGACGAAAAAAAGAUGAGAUUUCAGCUCUAGUGUGUCAUUUAAUUCUGCGGGAUUAUUGCUUCUUGUGCUUCAGGGUAUUUUUAUACAGUACAUUAGGAAGCUUAUUCAGAAAACGAAUCAAAGUUACGUUUUUGAUUUGUUGUGGAGCAGCUGGAUAAUAGAUGAUAAAUGGUGGAGGACCUUGUCAUUUUCUCAUGGUAUAGAUGAAAAAGAUGCACAUAAACAGAUUGAUAAUUUGAAAGUGGAACUGAAACUUUUAACCAACUUUACUGAUUUACAUAGAAUUUUGACCUAUUCCGAUGACAAGUGGGUGUUGGUCAGUUGGGAUCUCUAUUCUUGAACCUUGAAGAGGGACUUUCAUGUUGGUUUUGAGAAAGAUAUGCAUUAGGGGGAUGUAUGGUUAUAUCCUGCAACUCCUAAGUUUCAAUCAAAGAUUGCAUCCUUGAGGCAGCGAAUUGAAGCAGAAAAUGAUUCUACUUCAUUGAACAACUAUUCAUUUGAUCCCAGCCUCUGCUGAGGGAUUAUGAUCUUUGGAAGCAAUUUAUUUCCUCUCUUGGGUGAAAGUUUGCGGGAUCUUUACAACGGGAAAGAUGAGUUGCUUCAGCCUCAUAGGGUUACAGCUGCGUACCAUGCUAGAGAUGCUAGAAUCCUUGAGGUGCUUUAUCUUCUAUGUUGAAGGCUUCUGUUCCUGAGGAGGCUGAACUUUAAUUCCUUUUUAGAGGGUUCAUGCACCUUAUAAUGUUUCUGCUAGUGAGCUUGUUUUUUCACUUACCGGCCUCAUGUGGACGAACAAUAGCUGGCAUAGACAAGAAAGCUGAUCCAGCUCCUGUUAAGUUGCUUGAAAAGAUGGGGAUUCGAAGGUUGAGAUGUUCUUCUGGAGCUGCUAGGCCAAAAUAUCCAUUUGGAGUCCCUUGUGGAGAUUAUUAUUGAUUCUCUCAAUGAUUUACAUGGCUUUGGUGAAUCUUUGUUGCAAAACAAAUACACCUUAGGGGAACAAUAAUGUUCCUAAACCAAUCUCAAUGAAUGGUAAAUCUAAGGCUAGGAAGGGUAACUCUUUCUCUCUCUCAUUUCAUGCCAAGUCAAUGAUUGAAGAUAUGGCCAAACAUUGAGCUUCUGAAGUUUCUUGACCAGCUUAAACUGUUAAAAUGGAGCUACUUCUGGAAGUGCUUUUUAAUGGGCAAGCACAUAUGAUUUUAAAUGUGAAAAACAAUAGAAGCCUAUUGUGAGGGGCUUACAGUAUUCAACAUUUUUUCUGCUGUGUCUACUAGUGGAGAAUGGUGUAAUGAUCUUGAAACACUUGAAAUCAGCAGCAAAUGACACAGCUUCAGUUUAUUAUGCUUUUCAUGCUAAAGCUAUUGUACAAGACACUGAGGAAUUGUUGCAAUUUGCUUCCCGAAAGUAUAAAAGAUUAAACUUGUCAUCAGAGAUCA
Coffea arabica (coffee) is the source of this 1760-nucleotide non-coding RNA. The record is from RefSeq and is a predicted model, not a curated record. NCBI's taxonomy places the organism in Eukaryota, Viridiplantae, Streptophyta, Magnoliopsida, Gentianales, Rubiaceae.